Vicugna pacos (alpaca) is the source of this 631-nucleotide non-coding RNA. The record is from RefSeq and is a predicted model, not a curated record. NCBI's taxonomy places the organism in Eukaryota, Metazoa, Chordata, Mammalia, Artiodactyla, Camelidae.
GCCAUCAGCCAGAAGUUCAUUAUCGAUGUUGGCUAGGAAAGAUUCCCAGGCCCUGAAAUUUUCUCUCACCCAGAGAUAUUGAUUUACAUGCCAAGUAUAAUGCCUGGCCCAGGAAGCUUGGGAGAUGAAUAAAAUAACUUGACCAUGAAGGAGCACUGAGGAGGAGGCAGAGAUAAUCUCUGCCAUGGGUAUUAUAAUAGGUGUACUACAAGGCUCAGAGGCAGUACAGAGAAAGAAAUGAGGAGCUCUUGAAACUGGUGGGCAGAGGGCAAGGGUUUAGAAUGGUCUUUAAGAAUAGGUAUAUUUGAACUGACUCUUAAAAGAUGGGCAGGUGUUUGACAAGACAAUGUGAACACCACUGAUAGAGGGGAGUGAAACCACCUGGAAACCUUCCUCUGUGCACUGCAAACAGUAUGAGAUGGUUGGUGCAUGGCACAGGACUGUGCACAUUGUGUCCAUGUUGUGUGCACUGAUGAUUUAGAAAUGACAGAGGGGCAAGAGAUGAAGCUGGAGAGUUGCAGAAGCACACAGAGGAAGACUGUCUUACAUGGCUUUCCAAGGCAUUUGGACAUGAUCCUGUGGCAAAGCAAGUCAUUACAUGAUUAUUAAACUAAGCAGUAUUGGUGUGGAA